Molecule: long non-coding RNA, 1497 nt
Organism: Tigriopus californicus
Lineage: Eukaryota; Metazoa; Arthropoda; Copepoda; Harpacticoida; Harpacticidae
Exons: 3
Source: RefSeq, a predicted model, not a curated record
CGCCGGACCUGGCCAAUUAUUCUCGGAACAUCAAGGAACGGGUCCCUUUGGUCAUCGGUUCAGUGUGUUUAGUAGACCCUGGCUCGACAUGAAGGGCGAGUUGGCAAUCCUGGAAGUAUAAAAGAACCAAAAACUCGUUGAGUCAUACUUUGGAUGUAGCUCCUAUUUGGAUGAGGUCAAUUGAGCCGUGAAGGAGCUCAAAUUUGAAGUGAAUCAUCGAGUUACAACAUUUUUCAAGAGCUCUCAACGAACUGACGAAGCCGCACUCUUACAUUGCGUAUCAAUAGAGAUAGGGUCAGAAUCAGCUUCUCACUCAAACCCAAUCAGGUUGGAAUCAAUUGCGAUUACCAGGACUCCUAUUCGCGAGAUUCGUUCGACACUGAGGCUUUACAACUGUCCUUUGAGACUUUCUAGGUUUCUUCAUCGUCUUUGGGUGGCGCCUGCUGAGCUCCUCUCAUCUUGGUCCAGAUUUCGAUGGCAAGUUCUUCAGGGUCUUAAACUUGGCCAUGGGAUUGCCAAGAUUUAACCCAACGAAUGACACAAAGAGGGAAAGAGAGGAAUGAAACUAGUCAACCAAACCAGCGCAGAGAGCCAACCAUACAACCGACCAACUGACCAAGAUCCAAGAGAUUGCUACCAUAGAGAGUUAAAAACUCACUCGAUCCCCAUAGAAAAAAGAGGAUCUCUUCUUUUCCUUGACGCUGCAAAAUCAAAGCCCUUCGAGUUCAUUCGACCGUGGUCGUAGGAUCCAUUUCCCAAAGAACUGGACGCUCUGUCUGUAGUAAAGUGUCAAGCUGCCAUCUGGCUCACACGACGAUGACCGUUGUCAUCCAACUUGGCUAUUACAGAGCCAAUUAACGUCUGAAACUCGUCUUAGGUUCAUGCGUCAUCACUCGACGAAUGGUCAAACUAACCAACCUACCAACCAACCAAACCUCCAACUAAAUGUUGGGCUGCCAAGGAAAAUCGUUUUCAAGCACUCAGAAGGUCCAAUCUAAAAUCUGAACCGAAGGCAUAAACCUUCCGGAGCCAUUUGCUCGUUGAAAUCCUUUGAAGUUUUGAAUAGAAAUCUUCAGUUGAUAGGACUCAAUCAUUCUUAAACUUGUCACCUCUCUCAUUGAGCCCUGAUCCCAAAUGGGUGAACCAAGUUCAACCAGAUUGCAGGAGGAAGCGUUUGAAUAAUCAUUAAACGUCCCUCUGAGGCUCGUCAUGAAUCUUUUCCCUUUAUCUGCCCUCGUUUCAAACUUGAACAAAACCAAUCCACAGGAAAGGGAGCUUGGCGUGUUAGGAGGUCUUUAAGCUUUUAAUUGACCCGAAUGAGCAUUAGUUGGACCGAGUACAUGGCAGUAAGAAGUAAAAGCAGAAGAAGUUGCAAACAGUAGUGGUAUUAGCUUCAAAGGUUGUUGCUUCCAUCCAAUUGUGAUCAUGACCCAUUUUGUUCACUUCUCCAUUGUGGCGUUGUUCUGAACAAUAAAACCUCAUUCAACCAGGAGCGAC